RNAcentral lists this ribosomal RNA (409 nucleotides) under uncultured bacterium. RNAcentral's name for it is "bacterial SSU rRNA". It matches the Rfam family "Bacterial small subunit ribosomal RNA", at positions 354 to 777 of the family's 1533-position model. The record is from RNAcentral.
GUGGGGAAUAUUGGGCAAUGGAGGAAACUCUGACCCAGCAACGCCGCGUGAAUGAUGAAGGUCUUCGGAUUGUAAAGUUCUUUUCUAAGGGAAGAAGAAAGUGACGGUACCUUAGGAAUAAGCCUCGGCUAACUACGUGCCAGCAGCCGCGGUAAUACGUAGGAGGCAAGCGUUAUCCGGAAUGACUGGGCGUAAAGGGUGCGUAGGUGGUUUGGCAAGUUAGUAGCGUAACUCCGGGGCUCAACUCCGGAACUACUACUAAAACUGUCGGACUUGAGUGCAGGAGGGGCAAUUGGAAUUCCUAGUGUAGCGGUGGAAUGCGUAGAUAUUAGGAAGAACACCAGUGGCGAAGGCGAAUUGCUGGACUGUAACUGACACUGAGGCACGAAAGCGUGGGGAGCAAACAGGA